Molecule: ribosomal RNA, 409 nt
Filed under: bacterium
Lineage: Bacteria
Description: partial 16S ribosomal RNA
Rfam family: Bacterial small subunit ribosomal RNA
Source: RNAcentral
UGGGGAAUAUUGCACAAUGGGCGAAAGCCUGAUGCAGCGACGCCGCGUGAGGGAUGACGGCCUUCGGGUUGUAAACCUCUUUCAGUAGGGACGAAGCGCAAGUGACGGUACCUGCAGAAGAAGCACCGGCUAACUACGUGCCAGCAGCCGCGGUAAUACGUAGGGCGCGAGCGUUGUCCGGAAUUACUGGGCGUAAAGAGCUCGUAGGCGGUUUGUCACGUCGUCUGUGAAAGCCUAGGGCUUAACCCUGGACGUGCAGGCGAUACGGGCAGACUUGAGUACGACAGGGGAGACUGGAAUUUCUGGUGUAGCGGUGGAAUGCACAGAUAUCAGGAAGAACACCGAUGGCGAAGGCAGGUCUCUGGGUAGUAACUGACGCUGAGGAGCGAAAGCAUGGGUAGCGAACAGG